UAAAGCAGUACCAUACAUUAAUAAAAUUAUGUAUUUUUUAAAACAUGGUGUUUUCACUAAUGUCAAAAAUCUCAACAGCCUCUGCCUGGGACUGAAAAACAAUUUAAAGACGGGAAGACCUGGUAUUACAGUCAAAGCCUUGGAUGAAUAGCAAAGGCUAAUGAGAUGUCAGUUUUUAUUUGACCCAGUUGUAACCCAGAUAUGGAGGUGACCUGACUGCUAAUUUAUUAGUGAGACUGUUGUGGCAGCUCCUGCUGUAAUGGCUUAAAAUGAAAUGAUUUUUCUCCAGCUUUUCAGAACAUUGCUUGGUUUUUGUGUUUUUAAAUUUUGAGUUGUAAUGGUUUCCUUCUUUUUAUCUGUAGCCCUCACAUGAUUUCAACCUUCAUGUUAGAAAAACAAACAAAAAACAUUAUCUAGAGGCAUCUAAAAGAUAUAUUUAAGAAAAUACCUCAUCAUAUCUCUGUUUCCAACACCUUCCAGCUGUGGUGCUGGGAGAAGACACAAUACUGAGUGUGGUCCCUUAGGCUGCCUUCAUCCACUGGAUCUCAUUAUGUGGAUGCUUUAGGCAGGGGCCUUUUACAACCUAUGAGCAAUACUGCAGUAGAGCCCCAGGAAAAAUAACAUCUGGAAGUUGUCUUGAGCUUGCAAAACUUCUACUCCUCCUAAGUCAUGUGUCACUUCCUCUAAGAUUCGAAGUCAUAAUAGAAAAACGAAAAUGGAAGUGACACUGUCAGCAGUGUGACCCUCACAGCUGUGCAUCCACUGGGACCCAGAAGAAAUUGCUUCUAAAUGCCAAUAGGAAAUGCCAUAGGAAACUGGUCAGCAGAGCAUUACGUUUGCGCUCUGAUUUGGCACUCUUCAGUCCAGCAUAGAGAGAGCACUACAGGCUGUUGGCACCAGGCAAAGCAAGGGGCUUUUCAAGGCUGCAGUAUUAAGAAAGGCAGAACUGAACAACCGCUGGCAUCACUGACAGAAAAGACGAACUUCAAAGUGGAGAGUCACCUUGGAGUGCUCAGAACAAGAGAGAUGCUCUUGAUGUACCUGGUCUGUGAAUGAAGAGGAGAGAGAUGUUUCCAUAGCUGUCAAUCUUUCUCUUGGAGAAGCGCUAAAUUCUCUUAGAAGCAUAAGUACUAGAAGAAAAUGUACCACACAGACACGCAGAGCAUAAACAUCAUUUUUAUUCAGGAACUUCCAAAAUAUAUUUAAUAAUUAUUUUUCAUAAUUUUCUUCACACGUCAGGUGCAAAAUAUUCACCUGCUCAUGUGGGCUGUAGCAGUUUCCUAUAUUAGGCAAAAUAACAAGCCUAAUCAUUAAUAUUAUUGAUCACAUUGUUUCAAGCAAAACAGCUGACAGUCAAAUGUGGAUAGCUUUCUCUUAAGAGUGGCACACUUCUGUUACUCUUGUGUAGAAGAUGGCUGACACACACAUCCGUAUAUCAGCUGGGUAUCCAUACAUCAGCUCCUUGGUAGAGCCUUGUCUUUUCCAUUCAAGGAGGUCUUUGGCUGCAAUCCCAAGUAAGCAGUAAAUGCCCCAAAGUGGCAUCGCUCUGCAUUUACAGAAAUGCAGUGAAAGCAGAAUUAGAUGUGAUGCAAUUAAUGUGCCCUCUGCAAUUCUUGUAAAAACACAGUCUUAUUGAUAAAGAAUAACAAAUUGAUUUGUUUUAAGGCCUGAGCUUCCAUGAGAUAUCAGAAGCUGUCCAUAGGAACAAAUUUAACAGAGCCAGGGGACUGGCUUGAGUACUCUCCUGUGCUAUCCUUUUAUUUAUUUGUUAUCCAUUGUCACUUUGGGUUUUGGGUUAGUCUGGUAGCAAACACCUGCUCCAUGGGUGAUAUUUCAGCUGAGUUUAGCAUUGCUGUCAUUGCUUCAGGGAAUUCGGUAGCUCUGUGGGUACAGUAUUCUUCUGCCUAGUACAUUUGCCACCAGUUUGUGAUGGAGCUAUGGUUAUGAGGGGAAAGAAUAUGGCAUGUUUGAUAUGGCCUUGCCUUUCUUGUGUCUCUAAUGUGCACUUGCUGCUGGAGGAGGAGGGGAGAGAAGCAGCUU
Molecule: long non-coding RNA, 2040 nt
Organism: Cairina moschata (Muscovy duck)
Lineage: Eukaryota; Metazoa; Chordata; Aves; Anseriformes; Anatidae
Source: Ensembl